Non-coding RNA from Callorhinus ursinus (northern fur seal), 87 nucleotides. NCBI's taxonomy places the organism in Eukaryota, Metazoa, Chordata, Mammalia, Carnivora, Otariidae. The record is from RefSeq and is a predicted model, not a curated record.
GAUACGCCAGGUACCUUUGUAGGGUCACCUGGUUAUAAUAGCUCUGAUAAUUGCAAAGAAUGUUGUCUGUAUAGGUAGUAGGUGGCA